This 589-nucleotide ribosomal RNA is filed under the name uncultured marine eukaryote. Its description in RNAcentral is "SSU rRNA". It matches the Rfam family "Eukaryotic small subunit ribosomal RNA", at positions 615 to 1210 of the family's 1831-position model. The record is from RNAcentral.
GCGGUAAAAAAGCUCGUAGUUGGAUUUCUGUUGAGGGCGACCGGUCCAUACAACGUAUGCGCAUCUGGCUCGGCCUCGGCAUCCUCUCGAUAGACGUUUCUGCGCUUGAUUGCGUGGAGCGGAUCUCGGGACUUUUACUUUGAGGAAAUUAGAGUGUUCACGGCAGGCUAUCGCCAGAAUACAUUAGCAUGGAAUAAUACUAUAGGAUCUUGGUUCUAUUUUGUUGGUUUCUAGAAUUGAGAUAAUGAUUAAUAGGGACAAUUGGGGGCAUUCGUAUCAACACGUCAGAGGUGGAAUUCUUGGAUUGUGUUGCGACGAACUACUGCGAAAGCAUUUGCCAAGGAUGUUUUCAUUGAUCAAGAACGAAAGUAAGGGGAUCGAAGACGAUUAGAUACCGUCGUAGUCUUUACCAUAAACUAUGCCAACUAGAGAUGGGGCAUCGUUCACUUACGACUUGCUCCGCACCUUAUGAGAUAUCAAAGUCUUUGGGUUCCGGGGGGAGUAUGGUCGCAAGGCUGAAACUUAAAGGAAUUGACGGAAGGGCACCACCAGGAGUGGAGCCUGCGGCUUAAUUUGACUCAACACGGGG